AAAAGCUCUACCUUCUUGUUUGACCAAUCUUAAUUUAUUUCUCUGUAAUCUAUAACUAUUGCUGCUGAGUAACUACCUAAUUGGAUAAUACUUGAAAUUCACAGAGGGCUGACAUUAACUUUGAAAGCUCCACCAUUACUCUUGAUCAGUUGAUGCAUGUAUUCCAGAAAAACUAUAAUCUUCUGUUGGGCAUCUUCAAUCCAGAGGGAUGGUUGGAAAUCACGUAUCCUAAGAUCAUAUCAUGGACAAACUAAAGGGCCGUGAAACACGCUUGUUUUUCUCUGUCUUUUAUUCUAUCAUUGAUGAAAAUUCUUGUUGUUUCUUAUUUCAAUCUUUCUCAUAGAUAUGUUGAUGACACCAUGAGGAUUGGAAGGGACAACAAGGGUAAUAUCUUUGUGCUGGAAAAAAUUGAAGAUAGAAGUCGUAAUCCUCAAGGAAGAGGCGAAACACCAAGAACCAAAGGACAAGGUGGCAGCGAUGGCGAUGGUGAGGAGGCAAAGGAUGUUGGAAUGCGAAAAGGAAAACAUGGAGAAGAAGCCCUUCAUGGACAUACAAACUGAGACCAAGAGAUUCAGGCAAACAACACUUGAUUUGAUUUUCAUUUUUAGCAUUCAGCAACAAUCGUUACAAAUCAGUAACAACAGCAGCAAGAAAAUUUCAACAAAAGCUUCAGGAAUUAAAAAAAGAGCAACAGCACAAAAUCAAUUAUUUGAUUUUCCAUUAACCCAGUCACAGUUUCACAUUCAAAAAUCAA
Arachis ipaensis is the source of this 754-nucleotide non-coding RNA. NCBI's taxonomy places the organism in Eukaryota, Viridiplantae, Streptophyta, Magnoliopsida, Fabales, Fabaceae. The record is from RefSeq and is a predicted model, not a curated record.